RNAcentral lists this ribosomal RNA (253 nucleotides) under uncultured bacterium. Its description in RNAcentral is "partial 16S ribosomal RNA". It matches the Rfam family "Bacterial small subunit ribosomal RNA", at positions 524 to 776 of the family's 1533-position model. The record is from RNAcentral.
UACGUAGGGAGCAAGCGUUGUCCGGAAUCAUUGGGCGUAAAGCGCGCGUAGGUGGCCUCAUAAGUCCGCUGUGAAAGUCAAAGGCUCAACCUUUGAAAGCCGGUGGAUACUGUGAGGCUAGAGUACGGAAGAGGCGAGUGGAAUUCCUGGUGUAGCGGUGGAAUGCGCAGAUAUCAGGAGGAACACCGGUGGCGAAGGCGGAUCUCUGGGCCUUGCCUGACGCUGAGGCGCGAAAGCUAGGGGAGCGAACAGG